AUAAGUAACUGUCUCAAAAUGACUAGCAGUUACUUUGGGACUCAAAGAAAUAAAAAGGAAAGAAGGGAUUUGGGCCAGAAACUGUGUGGGGGAAAAAAACAUCCCUCACAAAGCAAGGAAACCCCAUUCCACCACAGUUUUAUUUAACGUCUCCAAAAAGAAAAAUUGUGGGGGGCAUGCCAUGCAGAUUUAGAUGCCAAGAUGUAAGAGGGUCAUUUGAGACAUCUUGGCUUGAAGACCAACUCAGCCACACUGCUUGGUUUGCCUGUGAAGCCACUGAAUACAAAAGAAGCUGAUAUGAGGGAAAGCCCCAACUUUGACAAAAAAAAAAUGUCAGCAUCAAAAUGGUUAAUGAUUGCAUUUUAAAUCAAAAUGUUCGCCAUGACUGACUGCUUUGCAGCACUAGGUGCGCAACCCCACAAAUUAAAUUGAUGAUUCCCAUAUCGGGCCAAAAAUGCAACAGGAGAAGGCUAUGAAAAAUUAGGAAAUCUUCUUGACAUCGGGAAAUCCAACACUUGUCUGCUCUAACAUCUGUAAGUGCCAAAGAAAGAGGGGGAUUUUUUUCCUUAAAGAAAGGCAGGUUUGCCUAUCUCCAAGGGAUGAUCGGUCAGGGCUGUUUUCUGAAGAAGAAGCCUAUAGGCAAAGAGGCAUCCAUAUGUUCACACAGGAAGAUUCAUAAAGGCAAGGACAGGAACAUAAAGGUAUUAUUUUGACAUGAUGACCCCUGGAAAAAGUAUUUGACUCAUCCCAACAACAGCCACCCCCACCCUGCCUUCCCCGUUGCAAAAUACCACGACCAAAAUCACCAGCAACCCAAGCCAGAGACAGACCAACAGCCUAAAACCUACAAUGAAUUUACAUCAUCUAUAUGGAGCUUUGGACCAACAGGUUGUUGCCACUUUUGAGGCCUUUGCCUCUGAGAAGUUGAGUAAAUCCUCUGGCCCCUUUCAAAUAUUUUCUCAUCUGCACUGAAUUUCUACUGACAAAGCAACUGAUAGAUACGGACCUCAGAAAUAUUUAUUAUCAAUGAGUAAAGUUUUUUGUUUUUUUGUUUUUUUUUUACUUAAUCUGAGGCAAUUAGUUCCUGAAUAAACACAGACUAAGUAAUCUACCUCCUCAAAAGAUAAUCAGACUUGAAAAGCGCUGUUUGGUCCUACCCAAGAAAAGCACAACUUGAUUAAAAUGCUUUGGAGGUUCACUUUCAUUUCUUCCCUUUUGCCCUGGAAAACAUUUUAUAACAUCCCAAUAACUUUUAUUUUCUUCCCAUGCCAAACCUGGGGCCUCUGUUGGUUGUUGCUGUCCUUUUCCCCCACCUUUCCUAAAUCUUUAACCCUGCUUCUCAUUUUUCUUUGCCCCUAAUCUAAUCACUAAUUCCUUGGCUUGGCCAAAUAGUUAAAAAUGUUAAGUGCUGCU
This is a long non-coding RNA of Zonotrichia leucophrys gambelii, 1413 nucleotides long. RefSeq lists it as uncharacterized. Lineage: Eukaryota; Metazoa; Chordata; Aves; Passeriformes; Passerellidae. The transcript is spliced from 8 exons. The record is from RefSeq and is a predicted model, not a curated record.